AUGCGAUAAGUAAUGUGAAUUGCAGAAUUCAGUGAAUCAUCGAAUCUUUGAACGCACAUUGCGCCCGCUAGCAUUCUGGCGGGCAUGCUUGUUCGAGCGUCCUCGAAAACCCUCGGGCCCUGGAGACUUGUCUUCGGCGGCCCGGUGUUGGGAUGCCGCGGCUGCCGCGGCUCCUCAAAACCAGUGGCGGACCUCCCUGUGGCCCUGGCGUAGUAAUAAACCUCGCCUUCGGCUUCCGGGAACGCCCUGCCCCGAGAACCCAUCUCAACCAUUUGGACCUCGAAUCAAGUAGGAAUACCCGCUGAACUUAA
This 311-nucleotide unclassified non-coding RNA is filed under the name uncultured Ascomycota. RNAcentral describes it as "partial contains 5.8S ribosomal RNA, internal transcribed spacer 2, and large subunit ribosomal RNA". The stretch from base 1 to 102 matches the Rfam family "5.8S ribosomal RNA", at positions 53 to 154 of the family's 154-position model. The record is from RNAcentral. Lineage: Eukaryota; Fungi; Ascomycota.